This 1548-nucleotide small RNA is filed under the name Pan troglodytes (chimpanzee). RNAcentral's name for it is "retained intron". Lineage: Eukaryota; Metazoa; Chordata; Mammalia; Primates; Hominidae. The record is from RNAcentral.
GGGAGAGGGGGUGGCGGAUGCAGCCCGGGUAGGGCCAGGAGACCGGUCCACGUUUGCAAACGCAGCCGCACGCCCAGGCCGACCCGUGCCGCCCGAGCGCCGCGCUGCGUCCGCGCCACUCUUCUCGCCGCCCCGAUGGCGUUCCGGGGCUGGAGGCCCCCGCCGCCACCGCUGCUCCUGCUGCUGCUCUGGGUGACCGGGCAGGCAGCGCCCGUGGCGGGCCUGGGCUCCGACGCGGAGCUGCAGAUCGAGCGGCGCUUCGUGCCCGACGAGUGCCCGCGCACCGUGCGCAGCGGCGACUUCGUGCGCUACCACUACGUGGGGACGUUCCCCGACGGCCAGAAGUUCGACUCCAGCUAUGACAGAGACUCCACUUUCAACGUGUUUGUGGGAAAAGGACAGCUGAUCACAGGGAUGGACCAGGCUCUUGUUGGGAUGUGCGUAAACGAGAGACGUUUCGUGAAGAUUCCCCCAAAGCUUGCCUACGGAAGUGAAGGAGUUUCUGGUGUGAUCCCCCCCAAUUCAGUGCUUCAUUUUGAUGUACUUCUGAUGGAUAUUUGGAAUUCUGAAGACCAGGUUCAGAUUCACACCUAUUUCAAGCCCCCGAGUUGCCCUCGGACCAUCCAGGUGUCUGAUUUUGUGAGGUACCACUACAACGGGACGUUCCUGGACGGAACUCUGUUUGAUUCGAGUCACAAUCGCAUGAAAACAUAUGACACGUAUGUGGGAAUUGGCUGGCUGAUUCCUGGAAUGGAUAAAGGGCUGCUGGGGAUGUGUGUGGGUGAGAAGCGCAUCAUCACCAUUCCUCCUUUUCUGGCCUAUGGAGAGGAUGGAGAUGGGAAAGACAUUCCCGGUCAGGCAUCUCUGGUGUUUGAUGUUGCAUUAUUGGACCUCCAUAACCCCAAGGACAGCAUUUCCAUUGAGAACAAGGUAGUACCUGAAAACUGUGAGCGGAUAAGUCAAAGUGGGGACUUUCUCAGGUAUCAUUACAAUGGCACGCUUCUGGAUGGCACCCUCUUUGAUUCCAGCUACUCUCGGAACCGCACGUUUGACACGUACAUUGGGCAGGGCUACGUGAUUCCUGGGAUGGAUGAAGGUCUACUUGGUGUUUGCAUUGGAGAAAAGCGAAGGAUUGUGGUCCCCCCUCACCUGGGGUAUGGAGAGGAAGGAAGAGGUGAGCAUCAGCAUCACCUGCCUUCCUCACUAGCUGUGGCUGCUUCCACAUUGCUUGGAAAAGGGCUUCUUUUUCUUUUUCUUCUUUCUUUUUGAGAUAGGGUCUCCCUCUGUCGAACAGGCUGUAAAGUGUAGUGUGUGAUCAUCGUGUACUAUGGCCUGGAACUCUUGGCCUCAAGUGAUCCUCUUGCCUCAGCCUUCAGAGUAGCUGGCACUACAGGCACACACCACCACACCCUGCACAGAGCUUCUUGAGAGCCAAAAUAUUGAAGCUAAAGUCCAGCUUAAGACUGGAAUCCCCAAAUAGAUUUAGUUUCUAGAGUUGUCCUGUUAUUUCUCCUUGUUUCUUCGCCCAUUUUCGUUUACCUUUUGAAA